GAGCAAGGCCGCGUGAACGAUGAAGUAUUUCGGUAUGUAAAGUUCUUUUAUUGAAGAAGAAAAAAUAGUGGAAAAACUAUCUUGACGCUAUUCAAUGAAUAAGCCCCGGCAAACUAUGUGCCAGCAGCCGCGGUAAUACAUAGGGGGCGAGCGUUAUCCGGAAUUAUUGGGCGUAAAGGGUGCGUAGGCGGUUUAAUAAGUCUAUAGUUUAAUUUCAGUGCUUAACACUGUCCUGCUAUAGAAACUAUUAAACUAGAGUGAGAUAGAGGCAAGUGGAAUUCCAUGUGUAGCGGUAAAAUGCGUAAAUAUAUGGAGGAACACCAGAGGCGUAGGCGGCUUGCUGGGUCUUUACUGACGCUGAGGCACGAAAGCGUGGGGAGCAAACAGGAUUAGAUACCCUGGUAGUCCACGCCGUAAACGAUGAGUACUAAGUGUCGGGGUUACUCGGUACUGAAGUUAACACAUUAAGUACUCCGCCUGAGUAGUACGUACGCAAGUAUGAAACUUAAAGGAAUUGACGGGACUCCGCACAAGCGGUGGAUCAUGUUGUUUAAUUCGAAGAUACACGAAAAACCUUACCAGGUCUUGACAUACUCUGCAAAGCUAUAGCAAUAUAGUGGAGGUUAUCAGGGAUACAGGUGGUGCAUGGUUGUCGUCAGCUCGUGUCGUGAGAUGUUAGGUUAAGUCCUAAAACGAGCGCAACCCUUGUCACUAGUUGCCAGCAUGUUAUGAUGGGCACUUUAACGAGACUGCCAAUGAAAAA
This 763-nucleotide ribosomal RNA is filed under the name Goosegrass white leaf phytoplasma. RNAcentral describes it as "bacterial SSU rRNA". It matches the Rfam family "Bacterial small subunit ribosomal RNA", at positions 389 to 1162 of the family's 1533-position model. The record is from RNAcentral. Lineage: Bacteria; Bacillati; Mycoplasmatota; Mollicutes; Acholeplasmatales; Acholeplasmataceae.